RNAcentral lists this ribosomal RNA (510 nucleotides) under uncultured bacterium. RNAcentral describes it as "partial 16S ribosomal RNA". It matches the Rfam family "Bacterial small subunit ribosomal RNA", at positions 28 to 507 of the family's 1533-position model. The record is from RNAcentral.
GACGAACGCUGGCGGCGUGCUUAACACAUGCAAGUCGAACGAAGAGCGACGGAAGCUUGCUUCUAUCAAUCUUAGUGGCGAACGGGUGAGUAACGCGUAAUCAACCUGCCCUUCAGAGGGGGACAACAGUUGGAAACGACUGCUAAUACCGCAUACGAUCUAACCUCGGCAUCGAGGAUAGAUGAAAGGUGGCCUCUACAUGUAAGCUAUCACUGAAGGAGGGGAGUGCGUCUGAUUUGCUAGUUGGAGGGGUAACGGCCCACCAAGGCGAUGAUCAGUAGCCGGUCUUGGGGGAUGAACGGCCACAUUGGGACUGAGACACGGCCCAGACUCCUACGGGAGGCAGCAGUGGGGAAUCUUCCGCAAUGGACGAAAGUCUGACGGAGCAACGCCGCGUGAGGGAUGACGGCCUUCGGGUUGUAAAGCUCUGUUAAUCGGGACGAAAGGCCUUCUUGCGAAUAGUGAGAAGGAUUGACGGUACCGGAAUAGAAAGCCACGGCUAACUACGUG